Molecule: ribosomal RNA, 253 nt
Filed under: uncultured bacterium
Lineage: Bacteria
Description: partial 16S ribosomal RNA
Rfam family: Bacterial small subunit ribosomal RNA
Source: RNAcentral
UACAGAGGUCUCAAGCGUUGUUCGGAUUCAUUGGGCGUAAAGGGUGCGUAGGUGGCGCCGUAAGUCGGGUGUGAAAUCUCGGGGCUUAACUCCGAAACUGCAUUCGAUACUGCCGUGCUUGAGGACUGGAGAGGAGACUGGAAUUUACGGUGUAGCGGUGAAAUGCGCAGAUAUCAGGAGGAACACCAAUGGCGAAGGCAGCUCGCUGGAACGGUACUGACGCUGAGGCGCGAAAGCGUGGGGAGCGAACAGG